UUCCAGCUGACGAGUCGUAAACGAGACGAAACAUGCGUCUUGGAU
Molecule: non-coding RNA, 45 nt
Filed under: Schistosoma mattheei
Lineage: Eukaryota; Metazoa; Platyhelminthes; Trematoda; Strigeidida; Schistosomatidae
Source: RNAcentral